GAUGAAGAACGUAGCGAAAUGCGAUACUUGCUGUGAAUUGCAGAAUCCCGUGAACCAUCGAGUCUUUGAACGCAAGUUGCGCCUCAAGCCAUUAGGUUGAGGGCACGUCUGCCUGGGCGUCACAUAUCGUUGCCUGAUGCCAGUUUCCUCGUGAUGGGUGACUGUGCAGGGCGAAUGAUGGCUUCCCGUGAGCAUUGUUGCCUCAUGGUUGGUUGAAAAUUGAGUCCUUGGUAGGGAGCGCCGUGAUAGAUGGUGGUUGAGUGACGAACGAGACCCAAUCAUGUGAGACCCCUACCGAAUUUGGCCUUCAUGACCCACAUGCGUCUUUGGAACGCUCAUGACGAGACCUCAGGUCAGGCGGGGCUACCCGCUGAGUUUAAGCAUAUCAAUAAGCGGAGGA
This 400-nucleotide unclassified non-coding RNA is filed under the name soil metagenome. Its description in RNAcentral is "partial contains 5.8S ribosomal RNA, internal transcribed spacer 2, and large subunit ribosomal RNA". The stretch from base 1 to 122 matches the Rfam family "5.8S ribosomal RNA", at positions 35 to 154 of the family's 154-position model. The record is from RNAcentral.